CGCGGUGAAUACGUUCCCGGGCCUUGUACACACCGCCCGUCAAGCCAUGGAAGCUGGGGGUACCUGAAGUGCGUAACCGCAAGGAUCGCCCUAGGGUAAAACCGGUAACUGGGGCU
RNAcentral lists this ribosomal RNA (116 nucleotides) under uncultured bacterium. Its description in RNAcentral is "partial 16S ribosomal RNA". It matches the Rfam family "Bacterial small subunit ribosomal RNA", at positions 1358 to 1482 of the family's 1533-position model. The record is from RNAcentral.